This 125-nucleotide signal recognition particle RNA is filed under the name Homo sapiens (human). Its description in RNAcentral is "SRP RNA (124-mer) from Homo sapiens (PDB 4P3E, chain A)". It matches the Rfam family "Metazoan signal recognition particle RNA", at positions 114 to 235 of the family's 299-position model. Rfam says of the family: The signal recognition particle (SRP) is a universally conserved ribonucleoprotein. Lineage: Eukaryota; Metazoa; Chordata; Mammalia; Primates; Hominidae. The record is from RNAcentral.
GACUAAGUUCGGCAUCAAUAUGGUGACCUCCCGGGAGCGGGGGACCACCAGGUUGCCUAAGGAGGGGUGAACCGGCCCAGGUCGGAAACGGAGCAGGUCAAAACUCCCGUGCUGAUCAGUAGUUA